RNAcentral lists this ribosomal RNA (119 nucleotides) under Pteropus alecto (black flying fox). Lineage: Eukaryota; Metazoa; Chordata; Mammalia; Chiroptera; Pteropodidae. The record is from RNAcentral.
GUCUAGGGCCAUGCCACCCUGAACAAGCCUGAUCCCGUCUGAUCUCGGAAGCUAAGCAGGGUCGGGCCUGGUUAGUGCUUGGAUGGGAGACCACCUAGGAUGACUAGGUGCUGUAGGGG